CUCCAACCCUGGCCCUGGCAACUGCUGAUCUUUAUUAGGCCUCCAGAACUGUGCUUAUUGGAAUCAUGCAGUGUGCACCUUUUCAGUCAGUCCUAUUCCUCACUAGCGAGCCAGUAUGUCUCCUCCCUGUCUUCAUAGCUUGGAAGUCAGUGUUAGCGACCAUCCCACCCUCUGGAUGUACGGCAGCGCAUUUAUUCAUUCACCUACUGCAGGGCAGCUUGGUUGCUUCCAACUUUUGGCAGUGAAGAGUAAAGCUCCCCCAGACAUCAACGUGCAGGACUUCCUGUGGGUAUAAGUUUCCAACUUUUCUCUGAGCUAAACACCAAGAAGCAUGAUUUAGUGGAUGAUUUGCUUAGUUUUAAAAGAAAGUGUUCAAGUGCCUUCCAAAAGAUCUGUCCAUUUCCUGAGCCUGGCACCAGAUGGAUGUUGGCAAUCUGGGUGUGCGGUGUGGUAGAAUUUGCAUUUCCCCCCACAUCCUUGUUGUCAUCAUUGCUGAGAUGUCUACGAAGGUUUCAGCCCAUUUUGGGUGACAGACCACUUGCCUGCCUAGCAUGCCGAGGCUCUCGGUUCAGUUCCCGACGGCAAAAUGUGAAAAGCCCGCAGUGUUUACAACCCGCCGCAUCAGCGCACCUGAACAGCCUCCUCCUGGAACACAGUGCUUAUGGUGUAGACCUACAGCGGCCCGAGUCCCAUGUGUUCAGAGGUUGGGCUUCCUGAAGACCACCGCCUUGCCUGGAUUAUUACAAAGCUUGGAACGCGGCUCUACUUCUCUGCCUGCUUCUUUUUUGGUGUAUUUUCAGCCCUGAAAUCAGAGCAAAUCCUAUGGCAGAGAAGAGUCAGAUCAAGUCAGAGUGUUUUGAAAUUUCUCCCUUAAUUCACAUAGUGCUCAGACUACAACAAAGGCUAAGUGUUAGCUGCCUAAGUCAUCGGUCUGCUUCGCUCCCAUAAUGUUUACCAUAGGAUCCCUGGAGGCGUCAGUCAGACACUCUUCUCACCUCAAGGCCUUUGUACUUGGAUCCCUUCUGCCAAAGAUACUCCAGAUAUCCGCAUGACCUGCCACAGGCAUAGUAAUUAUCUGUGAAAACGUCUCCUCCCAGUGAACUUCCUUCCCUGCCCACAUCUGACUGCUUCACCUUGGCUAGUCCCUAGCUCCCCUUCCCAGCUUAUUUUUCUGCAUACUUCCUGUCACUUUGUAUCCUGCUAAAUAAUUUGCCUAUGUAUAGUCUGGCUUUCCCCACCAGAACUUCCACUGCAUUAUGCUUAGGACUUUUGUCUCUCCUCUUGGUGGCCAUAUCCACUAGUGAUAUAAGGCAUUCACGGACUAUGGUUAUUAACUAUUAAAGGCUGACUAUCACACAGGCAGUACAAUUAUUCUGCACCCCUUACACCCAUGCAAAAGACUGUGAGAACUUGAAUGGAGUGAAAAUACAUCUGGGGGAGCCCCGGGAGUCCAUUCAAACACAACACAUCCACAAAGUUAAACAACCGAUGGUGUGUUAUAGGCCAAAAUAAAUGCCUUUGAAAAUCUUCACUGAAGCUGACAAUGCUCCCUCACCUGAUGUGCAGAUCUGCAGGGGCAGAUGUUCAGGACAGGCCGUCUCUGGCCAUUGAUUUAAGAAUGAAAAGUGCCCCCGUGGAUGGCAUCAAGUAGUCUGAAGUCCUGAGGAUUUUACGGCUCAUGCCAAUGCACCCAGAGAGCUGUGUUAACAGAAGGCCGCCUGGCUCCAGAGUGACAGUGAUGGUGCUACCUGUCGGUGGUCGUGAACCUCAAAGCCCACCACUUGCCUGUAAAAGACCACGACAGCACAAACACCAGGACAUGGCUUCAGCAAACUCA
Heterocephalus glaber (naked mole-rat) is the source of this 1837-nucleotide long non-coding RNA. The record is from Ensembl. Lineage: Eukaryota; Metazoa; Chordata; Mammalia; Rodentia; Bathyergidae.